Molecule: ribosomal RNA, 253 nt
Filed under: uncultured bacterium
Lineage: Bacteria
Description: partial 16S ribosomal RNA
Rfam family: Bacterial small subunit ribosomal RNA
Source: RNAcentral
UACGAGGGGGGCGAGCGUUGUUCGGAAUUAUUGGGCGUACAGGGUGCGUAGGCGGCCUGACAAGUCUGAUGUGAAAUCCCUGGGCUCAACCCAGGGCCUGCAUCGGAAACUGUCGGGCUUGAGUAUGGGAGAGGUGAGUGGAAUUUCCGGUGUAGCGGUGAAAUGCGUAGAUAUCGGAAGGAACACCUGUGGCGAAAGCGGCUCACUGGACCAUUACUGACGCUGAGGCACGAAAGCUAGGGGAGCAAACAGG